Long non-coding RNA from Malurus melanocephalus (red-backed fairy wren), 885 nucleotides. RefSeq lists it as uncharacterized. The record is from RefSeq and is a predicted model, not a curated record. The transcript is spliced from 3 exons. Lineage: Eukaryota; Metazoa; Chordata; Aves; Passeriformes; Maluridae.
AAUUAAGCUGUGAACUGGAAUUCCAUCAGGCUGUCUACUGCGAAGCCCCGUGGCUUUAGAAAAGGGGCAGCAGUGUCAGAAAUGACACUCAAAAGCAAAUAAGAUGUAAUCAAUAGAAUUCCAGUUCCUGUGAGAGAGAGAAGAUCUUUUACUUCACACAACCRUCUGAGGAAGUAGCUCCACUGAAGUCUGGGCACUGCUGAUGCACUCUGAAGUCAACAGGAGGGUAAGGUGGCCGUAAAACAGUGUGCAGGACGCUAAACUGGGACUGGAAUCAUCAGCUCUCACUGCAGCCUGGGUGUGAUCUGGAUUCUCUCAGCCUCAGUUUGCUCCUGUGUAAACAGCGAUGAUCUCCUUUGUGAWGUUCUUUGACGCCUGCAGAAGAGUCUCGCUGUAAAAAGACUGGCUUGCUAUUAUGCAYAUCUUCAAAACAAAGCUUAAUGCUCUGAGCUGGGUUGGGUGCGUGUGCUUAGCACUUUGUGUGAUCAGGCUGUAGAUUACGUAGGCAGUGGUUUGUAAUAAGAGCCUUAUCAGUAACAAAAACCCUUCUGUCAUUAUCAGACAAGCAACAAUCGUAUUUUAAAAUGGUUGCCAAAUGUGUUUAUUUGAAGAUGGUUGUUUCUAGCAUGGCUCAAACCAUUGUGUGGCAAGUGUUCAAUUGCUUCCCACUAAAGCCAACAUUUAUAGCUUGGAAAACUCUGUUAGAUAAAUGUCAGUUUCUGCCAUAAUUUGUGGAAUCAAUACAAACUGAGUCAAAGAAUCACAAACAGUAAUGUGAAAAUAAAAUGAUCUGUGUUAUGGUUUUUAAGUAAAUGAUGAUAAACUAAUAAAUGCCAUUAGCUGCUGCCAUUACUUUGUUGAAUUUAGCUGAUGUUACUGUGUUGA